AUACGGAGGGCGCAAGCGUUGUUCGGAAUCAUUGGGCGUAAAGCGCGCGUAGGCGGCACGGCAAGUCGGGUGUGAAAGCCCGGGGCUCAACCCCGGAAAUGCACUCGAAACUGCCGAGCUAGAGUCUCGGAGAGGAAGGCGGAAUUCCCGGUGUAGAGGUGAAAUUCGUAGAUAUCGGGAGGAACACCAGUGGCGAAGGCGGCCUUCUGGACGAUGACUGACGCUGAGGUGCGAAAGCGUGGGGAGCAAACAGGAUUAGAAACACCAGUAGUCC
Molecule: ribosomal RNA, 274 nt
Filed under: uncultured bacterium
Lineage: Bacteria
Description: partial 16S ribosomal RNA
Rfam family: Bacterial small subunit ribosomal RNA
Source: RNAcentral